RNAcentral lists this transfer RNA (76 nucleotides) under Deltaproteobacteria bacterium. Its description in RNAcentral is "tRNA-Ala". It matches the Rfam family "tRNA". Rfam says of the family: Transfer RNA (tRNA) molecules are approximately 80 nucleotides in length. Lineage: Bacteria; Pseudomonadati; Myxococcota; Myxococcia. The record is from RNAcentral.
GGGGCUGUAGCUCAGCUGGUAGAGCAUCGGCUUUGCAAGCCGGGGGUCAGGGGUUCAAAUCCCCUCAGCUCCACCA